AUUGAACGCUGGCGGCAGGCUUAACACAUGCAAGUCGAGCGGGGGAAGGUAGCUUGCUACCGGACCUAGCGGCGGACGGGUGAGUAAUGCUUAGGAAUCUGCCUAUUAGUGGGGGACAACAUCUCGAAAGGGAUGCUAAUACCGCAUACGUCCUACGGGAGAAAGCAGGGGAUAUUCGGACCUUGCGCUAAUAGAUGAGCCUAAGUCGGAUUAGCUAGUUGGUGGGGUACAGGCCUACAAAGGCGACGAUCUGUAGCGGGUCUGAGAGGAUGAUCCGCCACACUGGGACUGAGACACGGCCCAGACUCCUACGGAAGGCAGCAGUGGGGAAUAUUGGACAAUGGGGGGAACCCUGAUCCAGCCAUGCCGCGUGUGUGAAGAAGGCCUUAUGGUUGUAAAGCACUUUAAGCGAGGAGGAGGCUACUCUAGUUAAUACCUAGGGAUAGUGGACGUUACUCGCAGAAUAAGCACCGACUAACUCUGUGCCAGCAGCCGCCGUAA
This 501-nucleotide ribosomal RNA is filed under the name uncultured bacterium. RNAcentral describes it as "partial 16S ribosomal RNA". It matches the Rfam family "Bacterial small subunit ribosomal RNA", at positions 30 to 523 of the family's 1533-position model. The record is from RNAcentral.